This is a long non-coding RNA of Zingiber officinale, 950 nucleotides long. RefSeq lists it as uncharacterized. The transcript is spliced from 3 exons. The record is from RefSeq and is a predicted model, not a curated record. Lineage: Eukaryota; Viridiplantae; Streptophyta; Magnoliopsida; Zingiberales; Zingiberaceae.
GGUUGACCGAAAGUUGAUCGCGUCGCCAUCUUCUCUUUGCGGCGCCGCUUGUCUCUCGUGCUCCGGGCGCCGAGAUCUCCGGAUUCUUCGUCUCCCUCCUCCUAUUAAGUUCUUCCUCCAGAGAAAGCUGCUUCUUAUUCAAUAGGUAUUAUAUCCUGAUUACUUAGGAUAUAAAAGAGCUACCUCUUAUUCAGAUGAGCAGUAGCUUCAAGGUUUUUGGGCACAUCAAAGGUUUUUCUUCUGAUCCAUGGCUGCAAAAACAAUGAAAAAAAGAUGAGAGUUUCCCCUUGAAAGUAAUACCGAUUGUUCAAACAAGAGAUUAAUCUGAAUUUCAGCUGGCUUCCAAAAAAGGUCGAGUUUCCUUUAGAUGUUCCUUCACCUGCUUCAAGCAUACCUCUGCAGGAGCAAAUGGAACUUCCACUGCCAAACGAGAUCCCAUUCGUAACUUUUCUUCCAGUAGCCAUAGAGAACGGGAUAUUGUUGGUGCUGCUGAUGCAAUUGAACUGGAUGUAAAAGAAAUAUAUCUUAAGAGUAGCCUUAAAAAGCCACUGCUCAUAGAUAGCUCCGAUUUAUCUGCUCAAGCUGUUGUAAAAAAUGAUUAUUUAAGAAAUUUACCGAGCAGCACAUCAGGGUUUACCAAAAGGAGGAAGGUACAGUGGGCCGAUACUUGCGGAACAGAGCUCAUUGAAAUUAAGGAGUUCAUUGUCAGUGAUGAUGAAUCAUCAGACGAAGAGUACGGAGAUGACGGUGACAAAGGCCACUGCGUUAUCCAAUAAACUUCUCUUCCAUUCCAUUACUGCUCCAAUCUCCACAGCGCCGUUUCCUCCUCGGCAAUGUAAAAAAAAAAAAACAACUUAGUCGUGCCGUCGUAUACUGAUUUUGAUUUUAUUUGCGAACUAUUGUUUUGAUAAAAGUAUUCCUUGAUACAGUUGAUUCUACAAUUCUUUGCU